This 497-nucleotide ribosomal RNA is filed under the name uncultured bacterium. RNAcentral's name for it is "partial 16S ribosomal RNA". It matches the Rfam family "Bacterial small subunit ribosomal RNA", at positions 28 to 507 of the family's 1533-position model. The record is from RNAcentral.
GAUGAACGCUGGCGGCGUGCCUAAUACAUGCAAGUCGAGCGAACGGACGAGAAGCUUGCUUCUCUGAUGUUAGCGGCGGACGGGUGAGUAACACGUGGAUAACCUACCUAUAAGACUGGGAUAACUUCGGGAAACCGUAGCUAAUACCGGAUAAUAUUUUGAACCGCAUGGUUCAAAAGUGAAAGACGGUCUUGCUGUCACUUAUAGAUGGAUCCGCGCUGCAUUAGCUAGUUGGUAAGGUAACGGCUUACCAAGGCAACGAUGCAUAGCCGACCUGAGAGGGUGAUCGGCCACACUGGAACUGAGACACGGUCCAGACUCCUACGGGAGGCAGCAGUAGGGAAUCUUCCGCAAUGGGCGAAAGCCUGACGGAGCAACGCCGCGUGAGUGAUGAAGGUCUUCGGAUCGUAAAACUCUGUUAUUAGGGAAGAACAUAUGCGUAAGUAACUGUGCUCAUCUUGACGGUACCUAAUCAGAAAGCCACGGCUAACUACGUG